UUUUAGGCUUCACUAGAAGCCACCCUUAUAUAUAUAUACACAUAU
Eimeria acervulina is the source of this 45-nucleotide non-coding RNA. The record is from Rfam. NCBI's taxonomy places the organism in Eukaryota, Apicomplexa, Conoidasida, Eucoccidiorida, Eimeriidae.